This 875-nucleotide ribosomal RNA is filed under the name uncultured marine group I thaumarchaeote. RNAcentral's name for it is "bacterial SSU rRNA". It matches the Rfam family "Archaeal small subunit ribosomal RNA", at positions 21 to 903 of the family's 1478-position model. Lineage: Archaea; Thermoproteati; Nitrososphaerota. The record is from RNAcentral.
CCUGACUGCUAUCGGAUUGAUACUAAGCCAUGCGAGUCAUUGUAGUAAUACAAGGCAGACGGCUCAGUAACGCGUAGUCAACCUACCUUAUGGACGGGGAUAACCUCGGGAAACUGAGAAUAAUACCAGAUAGAACAUUAUGCCUGGAAUGGUUUAUGUUUCAAAUAAUUUAUUGCCGUAAGAUGGGACUGCGGCCUAUCAGUUUGUUGGUGAGGUAAUGGCCCACCAAGACUAUUACAGGUACGGGCUCUGAGAGGAGUAGCCCGGAGAUGGGUACUGAGACACGGACCCAGGCCCUAUGGGGCGCAGCAGGCGAGAAAACUUUGCAAUGUGCGAAAGCACGACAAGGUUAAUCCGAGUGGUUUCUGCUAAAGGAACCUUUUGUCAGUCCUAGAAACACUGGCGAAUAAGGGGUGGGCAAGUUCUGGUGUCAGCCGCCGCGGUAAAACCAGCACCUCAAGUGGUCAGGAUGAUUAUUGGGCCUAAAGCAUCCGUAGCCUGCUUUGUUAGUUUUCGGUUAAAUCCAUAUGCCCAACGUAUGGGCUGCCGGGAAUACUGCAAAGCUAGGGAGGGGGAGAGGUAGACGGUACUCGGUAGGAAGGGGUAAAAUCCUUUGAUCUAUUGAUGACCACCUGUGGCGAAGGCGGUCUACCAGAACACGUCCGACGGUGAGGGAUGAAAGCUGGGGGAGCAAGCCGGAUUAGAUACCCGGGUAGUCCCAGCUGUAAACUAUGCAAACUCGGUGAUGCAUUGGCUUGAUGCCAAUGCAGUGCCGCAGGGAAGCCGUUAAGUUUGCCGCCUGGGAAGUACGUACGCAAGUAUGAAACUUAAAGGAAUUGGCGGGGGAGCACCACAAGGGGUGAAGCCUGCGGUUC